CAGACAGAUAAUAUGAAGCUCCAUAAAAUUGUUCCUGUCUAAAAGAACUGCAGGAACAAAAAUGGAGAAGAGACUGAGAGCAAAGAGGUCCAGUGACAAGUCCAAUUUGAGAACCAUCUCAAAGGGAGGAUCCAAGAUCUAACACUGUUACUAAUGCUACAGUGUGCUUACAGACAGGAGCCUAGCAUGACUGUUUUGUGAGAGGCCCAACAAGCAGCCCACAGAGAACAGGCUACAUUCAUUUAAGAAAUGGUGUGUGUAUUAAGAUGGUCUCUCCAUGAAUUCAUUCACCGUUUCAAUGAAGAAUGGUUCUGCUUGGAGGAUGACACAGAUGUCAGGGGUUUACCCAGAAGAGGAGUAUAUUUAUUAAUCCACUGACCUGUUGCUGAGACUCAAAUGCUAAAUACAUUGUUAAGAGAACAAAGCUACAAUAAGCUCAAAGAACAAACAUCAAACACUUCUCAAGAAGCAUGUACCCAGGAGGCAUUUUGCUUUGUCACAAUACAGAUUUCACAGCCUCUCUGAUGGGAGAGCAGACUUGCCUGCAGCCUCAGAGAACAACAGGAUGGUGAUUUGCUGUGCUCCUCUACCUCCUCCUCUGGAAUUGUUGCCUCACUGCAGGAGUGACAAUGGUGUAUCCUUGGCAGCUGAAAAUUGGCCCUAGAACAGAGGGCACUUUGCUCUCUAGGUCUGAAGCUCUGAUAUCAAGAUGGUGAUAAAUUCAGAUUCAGACUCCAUUAAACCUGAGUAGAGCAAGCCAGCAGGUGGCUGUACUAAUGGAAAAUCCUGGCUUUGGAAUAAUGGGAAUUGCAACCGACAGCUCUUCUACGCCACAAAGAAGAUGAUUGGCUCUGCUGCUUCAAAUGUUUAAAGCAGAGGGUCAAAGGCUUUCUUUGAGAAGAUGAACUCAUUCAAAACAAGACCAAUACACCAUUCCAGAGAGGACUUCAUAUUCAGCUCUUCAUAUUUUCUUCAGUGGUUAAAAUUAUGAAUUAGAACCUAAGUGCUUUCAAGUAACAAACAGAGAUGACAUUAUGAGAUGAUAUUAUAAAUAGAUUCUGGAUGGGCCAGAAAUUCCUGAUCUUUCCAAGACUUUUAACAUGAAGGGAUA
Molecule: long non-coding RNA, 1111 nt
Organism: Mastomys coucha (southern multimammate mouse)
Lineage: Eukaryota; Metazoa; Chordata; Mammalia; Rodentia; Muridae
Exons: 10
Source: RefSeq, a predicted model, not a curated record